Long non-coding RNA from Tyto alba (common barn owl), 5423 nucleotides. RefSeq lists it as uncharacterized. The record is from RefSeq and is a predicted model, not a curated record. The transcript is spliced from 2 exons. NCBI's taxonomy places the organism in Eukaryota, Metazoa, Chordata, Aves, Strigiformes, Tytonidae.
CGGUGCUUCCCAGGAACAGGGAUGUGACUCUGGGGAGAUUGGGGUCCCCUUCCCAAGCAGCACUUGGCCAAAUUCCGGGGGGGGCAGAGUGUGUGUGUGGUGUGUGUGGGUGUGUGUGUGUUGCAGAAAUUUCUCAAAUCCAAGGUACUCUCAUGUUUUGUUGCUAUGACAUGCCAUGUCUGACAACUCUCGCGCCUGGAGCGGUGACGGCUGUUCCGCAGAACUGUUUAAAUGAAGUAAAACAUUGGGGCUGUCCCGUGGGGCUGACCGAGGUCUGGGGCGGGGGGGCCCUUUUGGGAAAUUUUGCCCGUGACUGAUUUUUCUGGCACCGUUUCCUCCAGCCCCAGAUAAUCCGCUGCCUUCAAAGGGGCCGGUUGCUGCCGGGACCUCCUGGUGCAGUGCAGGGAGGGGAUUUGCGGAGAUUACGAAGGCUCGAAACGUCCCUCCUGGCUACAGAGCACCCAGGUCUGGACAGACCCGCGACAGACAGACGGACAGGGCAGAGCGAAGCCACUGAGCCCACCAAGGAGCAUCUCUUCUCCACCGCGAGGAGCCGGGGACCCCGGAGGGGGGGGCUGAGCCUUAUCUGACGGCAGCGUUUCCACGGAGGAGAUCAGAGAGCUUUGAAGGCGUCGCGGGAGCUCGGCGGAGGUAUGUCGGGGCUCAUCGCUUCUGACAGAUUCCAGGUGGGAUUUGUAGCUGGGUGAUGUUGCAAUUCGGGGCCUUAAGGGAUUUUUUUCAGCACGUUCUCCCAAAAGCAGGAACCCUCCGCACCAGCGCUGGGCCAACAAACAUGAGAAGCAGCGGCUGUCCAUGCCAAACGAGAUGGAUUUAAAAGAAAAGAAAGGAUGUUUUGUAGAUUCCCAAACAAAAGAGUAAGAAAUAAGGUCAAUACCUGAAGCUUUGAGAGCCAAAAAUGUAUUCAAAUCCCUAUUUUCGACAGGGCUGCAAAGCCGCAAGCAGACUGACAGACCCUGGCCAGCAUCCCCCCCCUCUCCUCGUCCUCGUGUUGCUUGUGCGGAUUGAUGUGAAAUUAAAAAAAUACAUCGGCUGCUUUUCUCACCUGCACCUGUAGCCCCCGCCCUGGCAGCUGAGGAGGGUGACACCAUUGUCAUUUUUCUGAUUAAACCAACAUAACCCCCAAAGGAUGAUACAGGAACCAAACCCCAAACUCUAAAAAAAUCAGAAAGCCAAGAGUAAGGUGAUGGGGGGGGGGGGGGGGGGAAGAGGAAUCAACCUAAUUCUGGGAGCCAGAAAUGCAGAAUUAAACCUCUGUGCCUCGCGCAGGGCAGAUGUUGGGUAUAUAGGUCUGUGUGAUGGGAUUAUUUUUCAGCCAUAUUGAUUACAUUUGAUAUAUUUUGAAAUCUAAUUUUAAUGGUGUUAUAUAUUUACAUAUUAUAUUUCAAAUACUUCAAACGUUACCGACUGUAUUAAAACGUGAUGGCUGAUGUAUUACAGCGGUUUGGGACGAGGCUGGCAACCACCUGGCACCGCAGAUCCGUCCUCCUCCGGCUUUCCCACCCUUUCAGGUGCCGCGAUGCCUCCAAUUCGCCGGGCAUCCGCGCAGCCCCCUCCCCUCCUCGGGAGAUGGCGCUUUCCCCACGCCGAGCCCAGCUCCUCGGUGGCCCCGUGGGAGAGCGGGGCAGCAGGAGACGCCGGCGGGACGGCGGGAGCGGGACGUGGGUGUGGGGAACGGGCGGUGAACGCGCGCAGGCACCGAAACCCGGAGACUGAAUAUCAAUCAAACGCGCUUGGAGUAUUAUCAUAAAAACCAGUCGGACCGGUAGGAAAGCACGUUUGAAACGUGGAGCCCAGCACACGGCCGCGCCCGAGGGUCCGUGGCUUUGUCCCGGAGCGGCACUGGGCUGGCGAUAACGCCUACAGAAAAUGACUUUGAUUUACAAGAUCCUUCUAUUUCCACUUAUUUUGUUUCAGUCUUUUGUUUUCAAGGAUCUCUUGGAGAUUUUUCAGUUCUUUAGGAUUUGCGCAAUGGCCAGAUGCUCUUCUGCCUUCAAACGGGGGAAGAAAUGGCAAUGAGGGCACGAGUCGGCGGGGCUGGGGGGCAAAGCUGGACCCGGCACAGCAGCCGGCGGGUUCGGGUGCAUCGGGAACGUGACAGCGACUCCAAUUCGCUGGGGAGGGACGGGACUCUGGGCUGCUGCUCCCCCAGCUCUGGCCGCGGCCCCUCUCCCAGCUGCUUCCUCUUAUUUCACGCUCGUCCGGUCUUCCUCACCUUCAGGUCAUUAAAACCAUCUUUAAACUUUGCUUUUUCUGCGCAUGCUGAGGGCUCCGCGCGCUCCGGGUGGCUCCGAUCUCCUCCCCAACCCCUCCGCGACGUCUGAUUCCUCCUCCCCGACGUGAGCUCCGAUUCCUCAUCCCUGAGCUCCGAUUCCUCCUCCCCGCCGGUUUUAGCUGCAGCGAGAGGCCGAGGCGGAUCAUUUCUUCAGCCGCUCGACUCCCGAGCCGGCACGCUCACAAGCCACAACAGCAACAGCUUAAAUCCCGGGGAGGCGGAGGAGAAGGGAUAUUGUCAGCCCCACCUUGGGUUUGCCCCCAGAAAGUUUCCCGUAGCCGACCGCUCCCGCCCCGAGCGGCUCUUCGCGUGCUGCUGUCGCAGCAUCCCCGGGGAAGCCGACGUUUUGGGAUGGAGCCGCUCUGCCCAGGGCUGCGUGCACGCACCGGCUGCUUCCACAUCUCCAGGGGGCCCGGCAGGACGUGUGUCUUAACCAGCAGCUCCUGAAGUUUCAUCCCUGAACUGAGUUAUUGACCUUAACGAGACCCAAACCAGCACCGUGUGCUAAACCAGCGCCGUCUGUGAUUAUUAAAAUGAGUUAUUUUAUCACCAGCCACGCGAGGCUGGGAGCGUACGGCUUCCCAAACUGAAAUAACCCCGUAUCCGCCUGUAUGCCAGACAGCUACUUCAAAAAAAAAAAAAAACAAAAAAAAACCAACCCAAAAAAACUAAAAUCAUCCCGUUUUCUGGUUUGAUUCAGCAAUAAAAAACCCAGCACAAAGGCCCAGACACCCGUAGGAUUGCUGCUCCCAAACCCGGCCGCCGUCCGUCAGCUCGCUUGUCUCUCUGCUCACGAAAUGCCGGUGGUUUGAGUGGUCUGGAGCCUGGAAAGGGUGGAACAAACCAGGGCCCGAAGUCUGCGGAGAGCUCUGUGUUUGCUGGAAGGGUGCCCGGCGUCCACGAGCGCAGAUGUUGGGGAAAGAUUAAGUCUAGAAAGUCUUUCUUCACCUUCAGAGAGCCACUAGCCAGGGAUAAAAUUUAAUAUUUAAAUUUUAGCUGCCUCUGAACUGGGUUUUUAAAGGAGAGGUGGGGUGUCGUUACGCGCAUCGGAAAAAGCCUGUUGACAAAGGGACGAGGAUUUUUCCAUCGUUUUAUUAAAAACUUUUAAAGGUCUAAAAUGAAAAUGUACACCUACUACAAUAUCAUCAGUUUGUACACUCACAGUUAAAGUGCUAAAAUUAAACGUUACAAAACCGACACUGGACUACUGUAAACAAGUCUACCAAGAGCUGAGUGCAAGUCAAGUCAGCUACGGCCGGGUACUACCCCAUGCUAACGGCCACGUGCACCCGCUACGUACAGGGCUCACGAACACGAAAAGCUGCUUCCUCCCUCGUUCAGAACCGGAUGAAAUUACAACACGAACACGAGCGUGGUGAGAGAAAGCGCUGGAAGAGGCGGCAGCGCCGUUACGUGCCCCGCGUUCCCCAGAGCACCGAAAAACAGCAGGAAAACCUCCUCGCUUCCUGUGACCAAAACUCCCCACCCGGCUACAAACGCCGCGCGUUUGGGAUUGGGGUGAAAUUUCACAUUCGGCUCCCCGGGAAGGGCGGGCGUCGCCCGAAGGGUUGGCUCUGACUCCACAGGCUCUUCCCGCAGCCUCCCGGGCUCUUGCCGAGGGUUUUCCCUCCGCUCCUUGCUGGAGGCCGGGUUUGGAUUCGGCCGCGGCUGGAUUUCGGCUGGAGCCGCCCAGCGCAGCCCCGUGCUCAGCCCCGACCCCGGGUACAGCUCAUCGCUCAAACUUCCGUUGCAAAAUUUCGGUCUAAGCACUAAGAGGAGGGAGAGCGCUUGAGAGCGGACAAAGAAAUUUACAACUAAAUGCGGCUCUUUGCCGCUGCUGGGUUUUUUUGCGCUUCGAGGCGAGCGCUACCGAUCCCAUGGGAGGGCGGCUGCGCGUGGUCCUGACACAGCCUUUUCCAAGCAACGCGGCCGCAUCUCUGAUUGAAAUCUCUGAUUUCAACGAACGGCGAGAGCUCCGAAGGGAUUAAAGAGAGGAGGAACGUCACCAGGCUCGGGGGAAUCUGUUGUCAGCGGCGAUGGGGCCAAGCCCCCAGCCACCCCCUGCUCUGCCGGGCCGGGCCGGUGAAGCUCUCGCCUCUGAGACAGAACAACACGCCAAGGUGUUCGUGAUGGGAUAAAACAGGAGGUUCAGCUCCCUGGGAAUACUGGGAACAAGAAGCCGCGGGUUUUAUGGGGAGCUUUGAUACCGCGAUCUCGCAAAGCGGUGUUUCGGGGCUUCACCUCGUCGUCUGUGUAGGAUGGAGAGACAUUAACCUGCCGUUGGGACGAGCUGGGGAAACCGGGCUCUGUCCAACUUCUCUGCCUGCUUGGAGGGAGAGAGGGUCAGGCUUUUCAGCAGCGUGCGGCUGCUGGGGAGGGACGAGGCGCUGCGGAAAACCCCGAGGAACGUGUGCUCAUCUACACGUGCGUUAGGUCAGCCCAAGCCCAAAGCAACCGGAGGGGUUUCAGCCACGGUAAAACUGCCGCCGGGGUUUGAGCCCCGGGGGAAUUGAAAACAUUGGCAGCGGUCCCAGCAAGCAGGCGGCCAGGCCGGAGCCCCCGCUGGUUAACGGGGGGGGUGCCAGAGGGGAAAGACCCCCCAAAAACCGGGCGCCGGAGACGGCGGCUGGGCUGCGACCGACCUCGGACGCGCUCCAGAGCCCCCAGGCACGAUGAGUUGGGAGCUGAAGCCCUGCGAGCGUCCCAGCUGGGGAAUCUUACCCGUGAAACCUGCAAGAGUCACUGGUAAAGGGCUGUGAAAUCCCGGGAAGGAACGCUCUGCAGGACCAGAGCGGCAUGCGAACUCAGGUGCUGGAGAUAAAAGGGAGGGGUUGGGAUUACGGGGGGAGGGGGGGUAUAAAACCCAGCCAGAACUCGCGUUUGACAUUUUAAUCACCUCUUUGGGGUGACAGGAGCCUGUCCCUCGCCUACAGGAUACAUGAGCAAGGAACAGCUUCGAUAUUCCCAUCUGGAAACAAUAGGGGGACUAAACCUCACCUAUUAACAACAUUUCAAGCAGGAUAUAUUUCAAACCUCCAUCAUCAUUCCCCUCCCUGACUCUAAACAAGUCAAAGCAUUGCUAUAAUUAAUAGGAAAAAAAAAAAAAAAAAAGUACUGGAAAUAGAGCCAA